Molecule: ribosomal RNA, 249 nt
Filed under: uncultured bacterium
Lineage: Bacteria
Description: partial small subunit ribosomal RNA
Rfam family: Bacterial small subunit ribosomal RNA
Source: RNAcentral
AGGACGAACGCUGGCGGCGUGCCUAACACAUGCAAGUGGAGCGACGAACCAGGCUUCGGCCUGGGGCAGAGCCGCGAACGGGUGAGUAACACGUGACUAACCUACCCUUGAGUGGGGGAUAACCUAGGGAAACCUGGGCUAAUACCGCAUAAUACCUUCGGGUCAAAGGAGCAAUUCGCUUAAGGAGGGGGUCGCGGCCGAUUAGUUAGUUGGCGGGGUAAUGGCCCACCAAGACUGUGAUCGGUAUCC